UGGGGAAUCUUGCGCAAUGGGCGAAAGCCUGACGCAGCGACGCCGUGUGGGUGAUGAAGGCCUUCGGGUCGUAAAGCCCUGUCAGGGGGGACGAAAUCUCGACGACCUAAUAUGUCGUCGACUUGACGGUACCUCCAAAGGAAGCACCGGCUAACUCUGUGCCAGCAGCCGCGGUAAUACAGAGGGUGCGAGCGUUAAUCGGAAUUACUGGGCGUAAAGCGCACGUAGGUGGCGAUGUAAGUCGGGUGUGAAAUCCCCGGGCUCAACCUGGGAACUGCAUUCGAGACUGUGUUGCUGGAGUACGGAAGAGGAGGGCGGAAUUCCCGGUGUAGCGGUGAAAUGCGUAGAUAUCGGGAGGAACAUCAGUGGCGAAGGCGGCCCUCUGGUCCAGUACUGACACUCAAGUGCGAAAGCGUGGGGAGCAA
This 425-nucleotide ribosomal RNA is filed under the name uncultured bacterium. Its description in RNAcentral is "bacterial SSU rRNA". It matches the Rfam family "Bacterial small subunit ribosomal RNA", at positions 355 to 771 of the family's 1533-position model. The record is from RNAcentral.